UAGGGAAUCUUCGGCAAUGGACGAAAGUCUGACCGAGCAACGCCGCGUGAGUGAAGAAGGUUUUCGGAUCGUAAAACUCUGUUGUUAGAGAAGAACAAGGACGUUAGUAACUGAACGUCCCCUGACGGUAUCUAACCAGAAAGCCACGGCUAACUACGUGCCAGCAGCCGCGGUAAUACGUAGGUGGCAAGCGUUGUCCGGAUUUAUUGGGCGUAAAGCGAGCGCAGGCGGUUUCUUAAGUCUGAUGUGAAAGCCCCCGGCUCAACCGGGGAGGGUCAUUGGAAACUGGGAGACUUGAGUGCAGAAGAGGAGAGUGGAAUUCCAUGUGUAGCGGUGAAAUGCGUAGAUAUAUGGAGGAACACCAGUGGCGAAGGCGGCUCGCUGGUCUGUAACUGACGCUAAGGCUCGAAAGCGUGGGGAGCAAACAGG
RNAcentral lists this ribosomal RNA (429 nucleotides) under Gemmatimonadota bacterium. Its description in RNAcentral is "Gemmatimonadetes bacterium partial 16S ribosomal RNA". It matches the Rfam family "Bacterial small subunit ribosomal RNA", at positions 355 to 776 of the family's 1533-position model. Lineage: Bacteria; Pseudomonadati; Gemmatimonadota. The record is from RNAcentral.